CGUACGAUCACCGAAUUUAAGCUACGUCGAGCCUGGUAAGUACCUAGAUGGGUGUCCGCUUGGGAAUACCAUGUGCUAUAU
Molecule: non-coding RNA, 81 nt
Organism: Acanthosepion pharaonis
Lineage: Eukaryota; Metazoa; Mollusca; Cephalopoda; Sepiida; Sepiidae
Source: the annotation of a GenBank genome assembly